GUUCUGCCCCUGAACAGGCAGUUAACCCACUGUUCCUAGGCCGUCAUUGAAACCCCCUGUAUCGGUGCCGCAUCGGAUUCGCUCUGGGAACACACGAGAAGGGAAGACCCUCUCUGAGAUCAACUUCGAUCAAGUCAAGUUUGAUCCCCUGCUUAGGAAGGAGACUGAA
Long non-coding RNA from Oncorhynchus kisutch (coho salmon), 169 nucleotides. RefSeq lists it as uncharacterized. The record is from RefSeq and is a predicted model, not a curated record. NCBI's taxonomy places the organism in Eukaryota, Metazoa, Chordata, Actinopteri, Salmoniformes, Salmonidae. The transcript is spliced from 3 exons.